RNAcentral lists this ribosomal RNA (445 nucleotides) under uncultured bacterium. RNAcentral's name for it is "partial 16S ribosomal RNA". It matches the Rfam family "Bacterial small subunit ribosomal RNA", at positions 354 to 796 of the family's 1533-position model. The record is from RNAcentral.
GUGAGGAAUAUUGGUCAAUGGGCGGGAGCCUGAACCAGCCAAGUCGCGUGAAGGAAGAAGGAUCUAUGGUUCGUAAACUUCUUUUGCAGGGGAAUAAAGUGCAGGACGUGUCCUGUUUUGUAUGUACCCUGAGAAUAAGGAUCGGCUAACUCCGUGCCAGCAGCCGCGGUAAUACGGAGGAUCCGAGCGUUAUCCGGAUUUAUUGGGUUUAAAGGGUGCGUAGGUGGUUUGAUAAGUCAGCGGUGAAAGUUUGCAGCUUAACUGUAAAAAUGCCGUUGAAACUGUCGGACUUGAGUGUAAAUGAGGUAGGCGGAAUGCGUGGUGUAGCGGUGAAAUGCAUAGAUAUCACGCAGAACUCCGAUUGCGAAGGCAGCUUACUAAGCUACAACUGACACUGAAGCACGAAAGCGUGGGGAGCAAACAGGAUUAGAAACCCGGGUAGUCC